AAUUCAGCUCAGUCUCCUGUGCCUGUCACAUCUAGAGCUUUGCUUUUGUACACUGAGAAUUCACGCUCAGAAUACUGACUUCAAAACUCUGCAGGAUCUUAAAGAGAAGGUUUACUACAGCUGCUCAAAGAAAAUAGACCCAGAAUAAGAAAAUGUCCACUUGGAUUUAGGAAACUAGCAAAUUCAUUCAGGUAUGAUCAAAAACCAACCAAUCAAAAUAAGGGACAAAGGUGGCGGAGGAGCUUAAUCUGCAGUUCCACAAGAUCCCACCUUACUUAUGAUCUGCUGAUUAGGAAAAGCCAUAAGAGUAAAUGGGACUAUAAGGAAUCAGACCUUCCUCCUUAAGAAAGACUGGUCACAUCCUUCCUGCUGGGAAUUAUGUAGGUCUUAACUCCUCCCAAUGGUGGUAAUCCCCUUAUUGCUCAAGCCUUGGAACAGCAAAAUGACAUGACCAAAAAGAAAUGCAAAGAGCAGACAUACCUGGACUGACUCUUGGAGUAGUCAGGCUGCAUUCUUUCCACAGAAUACACUUGAUUUUUUUUUUCCUACUUUUUUUUUCCCCCUAAAAGCAACACCGAUUUUUGAUGGAUAGUUAGAGGCAGCUCCUAG
RNAcentral lists this long non-coding RNA (609 nucleotides) under Vulpes vulpes (red fox). RNAcentral describes it as "lncRNA (ENSVVUG00000026371.1)". Lineage: Eukaryota; Metazoa; Chordata; Mammalia; Carnivora; Canidae. The record is from RNAcentral.